RNAcentral lists this ribosomal RNA (253 nucleotides) under uncultured bacterium. RNAcentral describes it as "partial 16S ribosomal RNA". It matches the Rfam family "Bacterial small subunit ribosomal RNA", at positions 524 to 776 of the family's 1533-position model. The record is from RNAcentral.
AACGUAGGAGACAAACGUUAUCCGGAGUUACUGGGCGUAAAGAGCUCGUAGGUGGUUUGUCGCGUUGUCCGUGAAAACUCACAGCUCAACUGUGGGCGUGCGGGCGAUACGGGCAGACUGGAGUACUGCAGGGGAGACUGGAAUUCCUGGUGUAGCGGUGGAAUGCGCAGAUAUCAGGAGGAACACCGGUGGCGAAGGCGGGUCUCUGGGCAGUAACUGACGCUGAGGAGCGAAAGCGUGGGGAGCGAACAGG